UCCGUUGGUGAACCAGCGGAGGGAUCAUUAUCGAAGUUACUCUUCAUACCCAUUUGUGAACACUACCCCAUUGCCGCGCGUUGCCUCGGCGGUGAGGUCCGCGGGGGGGUGGGCAGCGCUCCGGCGCCGCCCGCCCCUCCCCGGGCCCCCGCCGGCCGCGCCUUACUCUUAAUUUGCAAAGCGGACUGUACGAUCUGAUUAAUCUUGAUAAACAAGUCAAAACUUUCAACAACGGAUCUCUUGGUUCUGGCAUCGAUGAAGAACGCAGCGAAAUGCGAUAAGUAAUGUGAAUUGCAGAAUUCAGUGAAUCAUCGAAUCUUUGAACGCACAUUGCGCCCGGCAGCAAUCUGCCGGGCAUGCCUGUCCGAGCGUCAUUUCUCCCCUCGAGCGCGGUUGGCCCCUAGCGGGCCGGCCGCCGCCCGGUGUUGGGGCACUGCGGGCCACAGCGCCCGCAGGCCCUCAAAUGAAGUGGCGGUCCCGCCGCGGCGCCCCCUGCGUAGUAGUAAAGCACCUCGCAUCGGGUCCCGGCGAAGACCAGCCGUCGAACCUAUCUCUUGAUGGUUUGACCUCGGAUCAGGUAGGGAUACCCGCUGAACUUAAGCAUAUCAAUAA
RNAcentral lists this small RNA (612 nucleotides) under Scopulariopsis sphaerospora. Its description in RNAcentral is "eukaryotic LSU rRNA". The stretch from base 221 to 374 matches the Rfam family "5.8S ribosomal RNA". The record is from RNAcentral. Lineage: Eukaryota; Fungi; Ascomycota; Sordariomycetes; Microascales; Microascaceae.